This 303-nucleotide long non-coding RNA is filed under the name Ananas comosus (pineapple). Its description in RNAcentral is "long non-coding RNA (ACOM_LNC008251)". The record is from RNAcentral. Lineage: Eukaryota; Viridiplantae; Streptophyta; Magnoliopsida; Poales; Bromeliaceae.
AUUCUACUGUGGGCCUCAAAAUCUAAAAGCGCAGAAGCUCCAUUGGAAUUAUAGAUAGAUUGAUUUACUAACAGUGAGAAAUGACGACAAUUACGUUAUAUCGUGUCUGGUAUAUUGCAAAAAAUUGAUUACGAUAUAUUUUUUACGGUUCUAUAGAAAAAUAUAAAGCAUAUCUCCGCCUAUUUGCGUUAUAUAGGAUCUCAAUACCAGCUGGGCAUGAAAUCUAUUAUCUAGGCAUCAAGUAACAAAAAUAAAUGAUGUUAUCACUUGUUAUAUGGAAAAAAUUAUUGUUAAAGUCUCUGU